UAUAUCUGAAAAGAAACAAAACAUUUAAAUUAGAAAGACACGCAAUUACUGUAGUUCUAAUUGAAAACAACACACGAUCUGCCAACCCACAUUUACACUGUUAAUAAAAAUGAUAAUGAAAUAAUCUGACAACUACCAAUAACAAUUUCUUUAUAAGAUUUAAUAGUUUAAUGGAACUAACUUCUGACACUCUGUGCGAUUAGUUGUGCAAUAAUUGCAUUUUGAAUGAAUGUCUGACAGGUUUUAAAUCCCUUGACUACAAUACAUAUUAAAGCAGAAGUAGAUUUAAUAGUGAAGAAUGCAUCCUUGGAACUGGAGAAGGAACAACUGAGUCCCAACUAUGACAAUUCUUCAGCUGGCCUCAUUGUUUAGUUUAGAAGUGCAGCACCUCCAGCGAGCUGAAUUAAGGGUCAGAUGUUGGGGCAGCAGGUGCUUGGAGUGUCACAGAAGCAGUAUUCUUAACAUCCCAGGAAGGAGGAUUAUAUAAUAUCUGUAGAGCACAUGUAAAUGCAAAGCAUUAAUACCCAGAGGUCGGGAGGCAAGAAGGAUCCCACGGCACACUGAUUUGUUGGGAGAUUAGAAAAAUCAAAAGGCUGCAAGAUGCCGAAGAUACCAUAUGCUUUACAAAUGUAGCUACACCAAAAUUCAGAGUGGACAAUUUUAUCUUUCUAUUGGACAGUACUACAAUGUUACAAAGGAGUCCAAGUGACGAAGCGCCUUCAACUUCAGAGGCCUGGAAAUAUGGCAGGAGGUCACAUGUGCUGAUGGUGAGCUUCUGAGUGUAGGAGUUUCAGGAGGUUACUGCAAGCUGUCCCAAUCACCUCGAUAGAUACAUUAGGGGAGUAAAUACCUGAGAGGGUGAAGAGAUAUUUCAGCUAAAGGACACUGUUGGCACAAGAACAAACGGGUAUAAAACUGGCUGCGAACAGAUUCAGGCUGGAAAUUAGAAGGUUCCUAAGCAUCGGAGGGGUGAGGCUCUGGAACAGCCUCCCAACAGAAGUUGUGGAGGAAAACACCUUAAUUAGUUUUGAGAGAGCAGGACAAAUUUAUGAGUCCAACUGUAUGACCGUGUUGCUUCUGAUGGCAAGGUGCAGGCUUAGCAGCCCUGGAACUAAUUUGUGGUUUAUAUCUUAUGCUCCUAAAAGCUCGUGUUUCAGCCAGCCACCUGUGGGGGUCAAGAAACUAUUUCCCGCUCCACCCCCCAUGUAUUCUGGAAAUUUUUGGUUUUUUUUUUAAAAUCUCCUUCCUCUGGAGCGGCAGGGAUGGCUGCAGCUGGAGAUGGGCCAUUGGAUGGGGAGGGCCAGGGCUUUGAGGUGGCAUCAAGCAUCCUCUCUCAGGUGCUUGGCUGGCUGGUUCUUGCUCACGUGGUCAUGGUCUAAGUGAUCGCCAUAUGUGGGAUUGGGAAGGAAUUUUCCCCCAGGUCAGACUGGCAGUGACCUUGGGGAUUUUCCACCUUCCUCUGUAGUGUCAGUGCGGCUCACUUGCCAGGAUUAUCUGGGUAUAUCUCAUUUCCCUGCCAUGGCGGGGCCUCAGGCACAGGUGCACCUUGGUCCCUCCUAUUCCCUGCCUGUGGCGCAUAAUAGUCUAAUCUCUUGUAGGCUGUUAUCGUUUGGUCUAAUUUUGGUUGUUGGAUUUAGUGUUGGUGGCCUGUGAUAUACAAGCAAUCAGAUCUGGUGGUCCCUUUCUGGCCUUAAACUCUAUGGCUAUGACUCAAGCAUAUUGGCAGUACUGCUCAUUUACUGGAUCCUCAGCUGCUUCUGGAUGUGCAGAUGAUACCAGUGACCAACUGCUUUUUUCCUCACUACUUUUAGCCAGAGGUUGCAACCUUUUCUUUCAGAUUGCUACAGUGAUCCUUGCUUUUGUCACCUCAAGUUUGUACUUAGUGCCAGUACUCCACAGGAUUUGUUAAAUAUCAACAUUCAAUACCUCAGAAAGCAUCUUAGCCAAUUAUUUUAAAACUCUUGGGUGAAAGUUACGUGGUCUGGCAGAUUUUAAAAUGUUUAACUUUAGUAGUUAUUUAACAUCCUACCUAAUUACUGUCAGAAUAAUUGUGAUAAAACAAAGUCAUCCCUUUAAGACGUGAGUAUAUCAUCUUGUUUUCUUCCAAAUAAAGAACAAGUAUGUACUGAAAAAUGCCUUCCCUUCAUCAUUACUUACAUUUUACCAACCCCACCUACUAACAGACUUAUACGAUUGUUAGGAUUUCAUUUGUUCCAGAUAUACAUUUUUAAAUUGUGGCUAUUGGUCCAUAAUAAUUUACCCCUGACUUUAUGAAAAUAUUUACCAUUUAUAUUAUGGCAGUGCCCGGAGUCCCCAAUCAAGAUCAUGGCCCCAUUAUUCUGGCACUGUACAAAUAGAAGUAGAUAUUGGUCCCUGCCCCAAAGAGCUUACAAGCUGGCUAAAGCUAAUCAGUUUUUUGACCGUGAAACAGUUAACAAUGAUUGCAUCUAAAGAUCAAGUACAAAGAAAAAUAUUGGGGUUGUGGCCUCUUUUGCUUCUUCAUAAUGUAUAUUGGAAAGUUUUGCUGUUGGCUUGUUUUCUUUUUUCUUUUUUUUUAAAGGAUUAGAUAUUCAGGUACUGCCUACCCUGGAAUACUAUAGCAACUAUAGUUUGAGAAUCACUACAUAAGAUUUAUACCCUGACACAGGUAUAGUGUGAGCACUUUCAAACUCAUUCUACAAAAUGUAUUGAUCUGCGUUUGUUAGAAUUGUUACAGCUUUUUACAUCUCUAGUGACACUAAGUGAUAACGUCUGCCUGAUCCUUCUCUUACAGCUGAGCCCACGGAAAGCAGACAUUUGUUGAUACAACAGCCUACUCUCUCAUCCUUGUGCAAUUUUAUCUCCUUCCCAAGUUUUACUUGGAGCAGAGACUGAGGUCUGCAAUUAAAUUGAUCAUUGGUACAAAUGGCAAACAAAGAACACAGCGUUCAUUUUGUACUGCAUGGAUGACUCUUCAGUGUCUGAGUUUUAAGUGCUGUAGAGAACUAACCCCAGCAGGUGGCAGCAAUAGAUUAAAGGAAACGGAGAUGCACAUUACUGAAUCUGUGAGAACAGAUGAGCUUCCUUCCAAAAAAUAUACAGCUGCCUUCAUAUUACAAACUAGGCAGACUUUUCGGCGGCCUGAUCUGAAGCAAAACUGUAAGUGAUCAGGGAUUCAAGACAACUUCCAUAAAUAUUCUCCUUUUGUGAAGAGAAUGCCUUGAAAAUGCUGGAGCUGAAAUUAACAACAAAAGCAAGAGUCUCCUGGGGCAGAUACCGUACCAUUAUAAAGGACGUCAAUAAAUUAACUAGUAGUGUUUCACUGAAUACACAGCACUCGUUACAAAAUUACUUGGCAACAAACAAUAAGUAGAUAAUAUUACUGAAUCUCACCGCUGAGUCUGAAAAAGUACUCAUCAUUCAACCAAAGACAACCUUCAUCUCCACACUCCUAAUUGAUGUUAAAACUAUUUUUUGAAUCUGGUUGUUGUUGUUGUUAUUAGGGAUUCACGUACUUUCGUGGAAGGGGAUGCUAGAUUAUUUUCUGCCUAUGUAAGUACAUAAGUAGAUAAGGCAAAAGUGUUCAGAUGCUCUUAGAUGCAUGAAUUGUGUAUCUUCAAUUAUUUUUCAACUUCAGGCCCAAGAUUUAGUCCCUGAGCCUUUGCUUGAUGGCUCUGUCCACUUUUAAAUCUACAGGGACAGAAGUGAGUGGUGUAUUUUUUAGAGAGACUUCUCUUUGAGCAUAAGUGCACCUGCAAAUGCUCCUGAUAUCUGGAUGGCCUCAUCUGCCACUUGUCUCAAAUGUUCUUAAGGCCAACUGAUUAUCAGUUUCACAUUGAUUUUUUGCUGUGACACAGUAAGUUUUUCCUCAGUGCCUCACAUUCUCUGUUUCCCUUCUUUGCUUUUCACAUCCUUCUUUAUCCCUCUACCCUUGCCCUUUGCUUCAGAUCUUGCUCCCUAACAUAAAAGCAACUUUUCUGAAGUGAAGAAAGCGAUAAUGAAAUUAAACCUGCUCUAAACCCAUUGAAGCUAGUCGGAGUUAUAUGCACAUAUACAAGUGUCAGAACAUAAUUAAAAGGGCAAUUUCUCCAAGAAACUUGUUGCCUAUCUCUUACAGAUUAUUACAAAACACUCAAGCAUAUUCAAUAUUAUGUGCAAGAGUUAAUUAAUGCAAUAUGAAGGAAAACAAGCAGAGAAAAAAGUCAGGAAAUGCCAAAAUUUAAGUUUUUUUUAAAACAUAGUGUUAACUUGGCAACAUUGCACAUCCUGUAUAUUUGAAAACUCUCCCAAAAUGAAAUACAGCAUAUUUGUGCAACCUCACCAAGUUAAAGCCUCUAAAUAUAAUAUUAUCUCAAACUUGUGGCACAUUAAAUUGAGAAAAUUAAGAGAAUUGAAAAGUAUGGGAGGGAGAAUGCUACUACCAGUGAAUGCUACCACUGUCAGCAAAAUUUAAAAAAGGGCAACAGAAACAAAAAAGAACUUUUUAAUAAAGUUAAACUGGAAACCUCUAGUUUAGAGCAAUACAGAGUAUUUGAAAAACCAAUCCCCAUUGACAGAAAAAUAAACAGUAAUGAGAAGAAUGUGAUUUCAGAGCAACUUUUGAACUUCCCACUGCUCAGGCUGCAUUGGUAAGGAAGUCUGAUGUCCUCGCAUAGUAUUUUCCAGACGUUUGUCUGAAAAAACUCAAAAUAAACCAAAUCACCAACUACUGCUCAUUGUUUUCUGUUCUUCAGCAAUAUCCAUUAUUUUAACGUUACCCCAUGACAUUUAUUACAUGCACUGAGAGCUAUGAGAUCAGACAUUACUGCACCAAUAUUGUUCAAAUAUUCUGCAAUAAAACAGGUAAAAAGGAGCCCACCUAGUAAACCAUUCACACACAAAGUCUUUCAAUUUUUUUGUUCGGGAAAACUGUCUCCAAAAUUUCAAAGACUAGAGUUACAGCAUAAGACGCUCUUAUUGCUACUGCAUUUUUUAAGGUCUGAGAAGCCUCAAUGCAGUUUUUUAAAUGGAGAGUGAAAUGUUAGCAUGGCAUUAUAUAAUGAGAACAUACUUGGGAAGCUGCAAAAUGCAUCAACAUCUAAGCUCUGAAAAAUGUUUUCCAAAACUUAUGAGGAAUGCAAAAAUACUCGAGAACAAGUGGACUAAGCUUAAGU
Molecule: long non-coding RNA, 5132 nt
Organism: Chelonia mydas (Green sea turtle)
Lineage: Eukaryota; Metazoa; Chordata; Testudines; Cheloniidae
Exons: 3
Source: RefSeq, a predicted model, not a curated record